AUUGAACGCUGGCGGCAGGCUUAACACAUGCAAGUCGAGCGAGCGGCGGACGGGUGAGUAAUGUCUGGGAAACUGCCUGGUGGAGGGGGAUAACUACUGGAAACGGUAGCUGAUACCGCAUACCAUCAGAUGUGCCCAGAUGGGAUUAGCUGGUAGGUGGGGUAAUGGCUCACCUAGGCGACGAUCCCUAGCUGGUCUGAGAGGAUGACGAGCGGCACGGGAACUGAGACACGGUCCAUACUCCUACGGGAGGCAGCAGUGGGGAAUAUUGCACAAUGGGCGCAAGCAUGAUGCAGCGAUGCCGCGUGUGUGAAGAAGGCCUUCGGGUUGUAAAGCCGUUUCAGCGGGGAGGCGGUACUCGCAGAAGAAGCACCGGCUAACUCCGUGCCAGCAGCCGCGGUAAUAC
This 406-nucleotide ribosomal RNA is filed under the name uncultured bacterium. RNAcentral describes it as "partial 16S ribosomal RNA". It matches the Rfam family "Bacterial small subunit ribosomal RNA", at positions 29 to 526 of the family's 1533-position model. The record is from RNAcentral.